This 579-nucleotide ribosomal RNA is filed under the name uncultured Bacilli bacterium. RNAcentral's name for it is "bacterial SSU rRNA". It matches the Rfam family "Bacterial small subunit ribosomal RNA", at positions 169 to 736 of the family's 1533-position model. Lineage: Bacteria; Bacillati; Bacillota; Bacilli. The record is from RNAcentral.
CCGUAUAACACUAUUUUCCGCAUGGAAGAAAGUUGAAAGGCGCUUUUGCGUCACUGAUGGAUGGACCCGCGGUGCAUUAGCUAGUUGGUGAGGUAACGGCUCACCAAGGCAACGAUGCAUAGCCGACCUGAGAGGGUGAUCGGCCACACCGGGACUGAGACACGGCCCAGACUCCUACGGGAGGCAGCAGUAGGGAAUCUUCGGCAAUGGACGAAAGUCCGACCGAGCAACGCCGCGUGAGUGAAGAAGGUUUUCGGAUCGUAAAACUCUGUUGUUAGAGAAGAACAAGGAUGAGAGUAAAUGUUCAUCCCUUGACGGUAUCUAACCAGAAAGCCACGGCUAACUACGUGCCAGCAGCCGCGGUAAUACGUAGGUGGCAAGCGUUGUCCGGAUUUAUUGGGCGUAAAGCGAGCGCAGGCGGUUUCUUAAGUCUGAUGUGAAAGCCCCCGGCUCAACCGGGGAGGGUCAUUGGAAACUGGGAGACUUGAGUGCAGAAGAGGAGAGUGGAAUUCCAUGUGUAGCGGUGAAAUGCGUAGAUAUAUGGAGGAACACCAGUGGCGAAGGCGGCUCUCUGGUCUG